UCCAUUGUUAUUUUCUGUUGUUACCUCUAUUCAUCCAUUCUCAUCAUAUAUAUGGAUGUAUAUAUUGUAUUGUUAUGCUGUACUGUAUGUAGCAUAUUGUAUUGUUUUACACUGUUAGUGUGUGGAUAAUUUUAAAUGCACUUUAUUUAAAGCUUGGUGUGAUGUAUUUCUCUGCCGCCCUUCAGGCCAGUGCCCCACCCUGAACCUGAUGAUAAGGACCCGGGGCAACGUGACAUCGGUGAACAAGCAGGCGGUGAGCUCCCGGGUCAGCACCAUGAGGGAGUACUCCCACCCCUCCUCAGCCCACAGGUCUCAUACUCUCCAACCUGAACUUCAUUAUAAUAGGCAUUUGAAUUGGGAGAGUUUGGCAUUUUUUAAAUGGUUACAACCCAAGCCAGGUGAGGGCGGUGAGAAAACAGUAUGUCCAUCAUCAGAAACCAGCAACGCACCCCCAAAAUCUGCCUGAUACACGGACCCCCAGGAACAGGAAAGAGCAAAACCAUUGUGGGCCUGCUGCAAAAAACAUUUGCUGAGUACCAUGAGCUGGCAGAGAAAGUACAGACUGCUCCGAGAGAGACAGACUCGGCUACGAGCUAAAACAGUCUUGCAUUAGGAAGCAGGAGACCCAGCCCUGUGUCUUACAGGAUACGCAUGUGGUCUGCUGCACCCAGAGCACGAGCUGCAGCUCCGCCCUGGAGUCGGCCCUCCAGUGCCUGGGACAUGAGCCCUUCAGUUGCAUCAUCGUGGACGUGGUCAGAAUUUGUAGCUCCUUUAGUUUGGCUGCAUUUCAAUAGUGUAAAGCAGCAAUAGUGUUCUAUAUAUCAUUGUGGUCAUGGAGAUUCACGGUGUGCAAGCUUUUGUUCCUGUCCAGUGCUGUAACACAACUGAUUCAACAAAUUGAUGGCUUGAUGGUUAGUUGAAUAAGGUGUAUGGUACUUGACUGGAAUAAAAGCUUGCAAGCCCUGUGGAAUUACAUUUUUUUAUUUAUCCUUUAUUUAAGUCAGUUAACAAAAAAAUCUUAUUUGCAAUGACAGCCUAACCUGGCCAAACCUGGACGACACUGGGCCAAUUGUGCGCUGCCCUAUGGGACUCCCAAUCACGGCUGGAUGUGAUACACCCUGGAUUCAAACCAAGGAUUGUAGUGACGCCUUUUGCAUUGAGAUGCAGUGCCUUAGACCGCUGCGCCACUCAGGAACACCAGUCUUACCCAGUUUGACUGAAUCUCCUCUACUCGAUCUGUAUGAAUGUGAGGACCAACCCCUUGUCUUUGUGUUUGUUGUGUCUCCAUGGCACUGUGUGCAGGCAGGGCAGACCACUGAGACGGAGACACUCAUUCCCAUGCUCUACCUCAUCCUUGUGGGAGACCCUGAUCAGCUGCACCCUACUGUCAUCUCUGAGGUACUGCAGCUUUCACUUCAGUAUGUGGAACAGGGUCUUACUUUAUUAAAGGAGUAGUUCACCCAAAUUGCAAAAUAAUUGCAGUCUGUGGAAACAAUGGUCAUUUUGUUACUUGUUUGAACUAUAAAACGAGAAACUUCCUUAGAAUAUCAACCCAAAACAUUAACAUUCUACAUUCCAAUAUAUCUACAGCGGAUACUUACUUAAUACGGCUAGGGGUUCCGCUAGCGGAAUGUUUCGACAACAUCCGGUGAAAUGGCAGAGCGCCAAAUAAAAAAACAAAUUAUUCGAAAUAUUUAACUUUCA
Salmo salar (Atlantic salmon) is the source of this 1704-nucleotide non-coding RNA. Lineage: Eukaryota; Metazoa; Chordata; Actinopteri; Salmoniformes; Salmonidae. The record is from RefSeq and is a predicted model, not a curated record.